UACAAUACAGAACCUUUUUCUCAUGUCUUCUUCUUUAAUGUUUGAACAGAGAAACCAAAAAUAAUGGCCUGCCCUUCAUGUUUUGCUUCAGUUGUUUGAACAACACAGACCCUUCCACAAUGAUCUCAUCUUCCUCAUGAACCAACACCCUAAAACCCUAGCAACCUAGCUCCAACCACCAAGCUACCGCCGCCGCUUCUCCCUCCUAUAAACCUACAGCGAGCUUCCUCGUCUUCUUAGUAAAAACCCAGAAAAAACACUACGAUGGCUCACCUUUG
Molecule: long non-coding RNA, 278 nt
Filed under: Nicotiana benthamiana
Lineage: Eukaryota; Viridiplantae; Streptophyta; Magnoliopsida; Solanales; Solanaceae
Description: long non-coding RNA (NBEN_LNC038926)
Source: RNAcentral